Molecule: ribosomal RNA, 284 nt
Filed under: Elaphe cantoris (Eastern trinket snake)
Lineage: Eukaryota; Metazoa; Chordata; Lepidosauria; Squamata; Colubridae
Description: partial small subunit ribosomal RNA
Source: RNAcentral
UACCCCACUAUCAACCCAACCCACUCUAGCCUAACAGUCUAUAUACCGCCGUCGCAAGCCUACCUUGUGAAAGAAACAAAGUGAGCACAAUAGCCAUCACACUAACACGACAGGUCGAGGUGUAACUUAUGAGGGGGUUAAGAUGGGCUACAUUUUCCAAUACAGAAAACACGGAUUAAUCUAUGAAAAAGAAACUAAAGGAGGAUUUAGCAGUAUAUUAGGAACAACAUACCUAAUUGAAACCAACGCAAUGAGGUGCGUACACACCGCCCGUCAUCCCUGUG